GAGUAGUAAGUGUUAAGGUCUUUAAACUCAAAAAAUUUGGCGGUAUUUUAUCUUUUUAGWGGWACCUGUUUAUUAAUUGAUAAUCCACAACUUUAAUUUACUUUUUAUUAUUUUUACUUGUAUACCGUUGUUAUGAAUUUACUAAAAAGUGAAUUUCAGGGAGUUUUAUUAUAAUUUAUGUUAGAUCAAGGUGCAGUGUUAAAAAGAAAAAAUGGGUUACACUAUUUAUUAUAAAUGGAAAUUAUCUAUAGUUUGGUUAUUAAAAUAGGAWUUAAAAGUGUAAAAAAAAUUAAAGAUUUUAUAUGAAUAAAGAUWCUAAAAUAUG
Molecule: ribosomal RNA, 325 nt
Filed under: Livilla nervosa
Lineage: Eukaryota; Metazoa; Arthropoda; Insecta; Hemiptera; Psyllidae
Description: partial 12S ribosomal RNA
Source: RNAcentral